Non-coding RNA from Angiostrongylus cantonensis (rat lungworm), 73 nucleotides. The record is from Rfam. NCBI's taxonomy places the organism in Eukaryota, Metazoa, Nematoda, Chromadorea, Rhabditida, Metastrongylidae.
GCUCGGUUAGCUCAGUAUGUAGGGCACCAGACUCCUAAUCUGGUUGUCACGAGUUCGAGCCUCGCAUCGGGCU